ACCCGCUGAACUUAAGCAUAUCAAUAAGCGGAGGAAAAGAAACCAACAGGGAUUGCCUCAGUAACGGCGAGUGAAGCGGCAACAGCUCAAAUUUGAAACCUGCCUCCCGGCCGGAUUGUAAUUUGCAGAGGAUGCUUUGGGAAGGGCACUGAUCUAAGUUUCUUGGAACAGAACGUCACAGAGGGUGAGAAUCCCGUCCGUGGUCGGCCGCCUGCCCCGUGUAAAGCUCCUUCAACGAGUCGAGUUGUUUGGGAAUGCAGCUCUAAAUGGGUGGUAAAUUUCAUCUAAAGCUAAAUAUUGGCCAGAGACCGAUAGCGCACAAGUAGAGUGAUCGAAAGAUGAAAAGCACUUUGGAAAGAGAGUUAAACAGCACGUGAAAUUGUUGAAAGGGAAGCGCUUGCAACCAGACUUGCGCGCAGAUACUCAGGAACGGUUCGCCGCUCUGUAUUUGUCUGCGCGCAGGCCAGCAUCAGUUUUGGGGGUGGGAUAAAGGCCGUUGGAAUGUAGCUCCUCGGAGUGUUAUAGCCUUCGGUGCCAUGCCACCUCCCGGGACUGAGGACCGCGCUUCGGCUAGGAUGCUGGCGUAAUGGUUGUAAGCGACCCGUCUUGAAACACGGACCAAGGAGUCUAACAUCUAUGCGAGUGUUUGGGUGUCAAACCCACACGCGGAAUGAAAGUGAACGGAGGUGAGAGCCCUUAAGGGUGCAUCAUCGACCGAUCCUGAUGUCUUCGGAUGGAUUUGAGUAUGAGCAUAGCUGUUGGGACCCGAAAGAUGGUGAACUAUGCCUGAAUAGGGUGAAGCCAGAGGAAACUCUGGUGGAGGCUCGCAGCGGUUCUGACGUGCAAAUCGAUCGUCAAAUUUGGGUAUAGGGGCGAAAGACUAAUCGAACCAUCUAGUAGCUGGUUCCUGCCGAAGU
RNAcentral lists this ribosomal RNA (917 nucleotides) under Zoellneria rosarum. Its description in RNAcentral is "eukaryotic LSU rRNA". It matches the Rfam family "Eukaryotic large subunit ribosomal RNA", at positions 23 to 967 of the family's 3401-position model. Lineage: Eukaryota; Fungi; Ascomycota; Leotiomycetes; Chaetomellales; Chaetomellaceae. The record is from RNAcentral.